CGCCACAGUCGAAUUUAGCUAUCAUAUGUAUGUAGCAAAAUAUCAUAAUUUAUUUGUACUGAUAGUAUCAUCCAUUUGUUGACUUUUUUUUGAAUUUCGUUUUCUUUUGUAGUUUAUCUUCAGCAAAACGAUAUAUAAUCCGACGAUACCAUUUGAAUACCUUGGUCGCCUUUAUCCGGGCCAAGUAUUUUCUAUCAGUGGUAUUCCAUUCCAAAAUGCAAAGAGAUUUAGUGUGGAUGUAAAAAAUGAAAAAACAAUUGCAUUCCACUUUGACGUACGCAUUGAUUAUGGGGUUGGAAAUGAGUUAGUUAGGAAUUCAUGUACAUCUAGUGGUUGGGGUGUCGAGGAGAGGCAUUUGAAUGGACCAUAUCCUUUCAUACGAGACAAUUUCUUU
Long non-coding RNA from Ruditapes philippinarum (Manila clam), 394 nucleotides. RefSeq lists it as uncharacterized. NCBI's taxonomy places the organism in Eukaryota, Metazoa, Mollusca, Bivalvia, Venerida, Veneridae. The transcript has 3 exons. The record is from RefSeq and is a predicted model, not a curated record.